CGUCAUCUUGUCUUGCAGAUAUGCACCUGUGUGAGGAUUAGGACAGUGGCAACUCAAGAGGAGGCCAGGGCAACCAUAUUGACAACGCGGACUCAGCUUACCCUGGAGGCAGUCCCAAGGCCUUGGUGAUCCUCUCCCUUUUUUGAUGCCACGUCUCCAGUUCAAUUCCCCCAAGCAGAUUACUGUGAAGUGCCUCCACUUCAUCAUAUCAGCAUCGGCUCCAUCCGCGCGCUGUUGGAAGCAUGCCAAGGAUGAUUUAGUUCUGAGCGAGGGACCUCGCAGCCUACAGUCGGCUUGCAGGGCACCCAGAUAAGGAAGCGCAGAGGAAUGAUGAUUUAUCGAGUUGCAUCAUUUUGAGACAACCGAAAAGAUUGGAACUGUCACACCAGUUUUAUUCUUUUAACAGGAGGCGUGGAGUGGCCUGCUGUCUCUGCUGCAGUUCCAGAGUGAAGUACGGAAGCUCACUCUUUAUUAGGACCAGCGAUAUGAUGCUAACAAUCUGUGUGAUGGCGAGAAACUGCUACUCCGCACGAAAACCAUCUCCGAACGCAUGAAAUAUUUGUACUAAAGUCACUGAAUAUAUUGCCAAGAUAAUUUUCCCAACAUGUUAUUACUUUUCCUUCUGAGGAUGUUCACACCA
Long non-coding RNA from Lolium rigidum, 640 nucleotides. RefSeq lists it as uncharacterized. The record is from RefSeq and is a predicted model, not a curated record. The transcript is spliced from 3 exons. NCBI's taxonomy places the organism in Eukaryota, Viridiplantae, Streptophyta, Magnoliopsida, Poales, Poaceae.